Molecule: ribosomal RNA, 412 nt
Filed under: uncultured bacterium
Lineage: Bacteria
Description: partial 16S ribosomal RNA
Rfam family: Bacterial small subunit ribosomal RNA
Source: RNAcentral
UGGGGAAUAUUGCACAAUGGGCGCAAGCCUGAUGCAGCCAUGCCGCGUGUGUGAAGAAGGCCUUCGGUUGUAAAGCACUUUCAGCGAGGAGGAAGGUGGUGAACUUAAUACGUUCAUCAAUUGACGUUACUCGCAGAAGAAGCACCGGCUAACUCCGUGCCAGCAGCCGCGGUAAUACGGAGGGUGCAAGCGUUAAUCGGAAUUACUGGGCGUAAAGCGCACGCAGGCGGUUUGUUAAGUCAGAUGUGAAAUCCCCCGGGCUCAACCUGGGAACUGCAUUUGAAACUGGCAAGCUAGAGUCUCGUAGAGGGGGGCUAGAAUUCCAGGUGUAGCGGUGAAAUGCGUAGAGAUCUGGAGGAAUACCGGUGGCGAAGGCGGCCCCCUGGACGAAGACUGACGCUCAGGUGCGAAA